This 494-nucleotide ribosomal RNA is filed under the name uncultured bacterium. RNAcentral describes it as "partial 16S ribosomal RNA". It matches the Rfam family "Bacterial small subunit ribosomal RNA", at positions 28 to 507 of the family's 1533-position model. The record is from RNAcentral.
GACGAACGCUGGCGGCGUGCUUAACACAUGCAAGUCGAACGGAAAGGCCUGCUUUCCCUUGUGGAUUGCGGGUACUCGAGUGGCGAACGGGUGAGUAACACGUGAGUGAUCUGCCCCCAACUUGGGUAUAAGCCUGGGAAACUGGGUCUAAUUCCCGAUAGGACUGCAGGGUGGUGCCUGUGGUGGAAAACGAUUUUCUAGUGGUUGGGGAUGAGCUCGCGGCCUAUCAGCUUGUUGGUGGGGUAAUGGCCUACCAAGGCGGCGACGGGUAGCCGGCCUGAGAGGGUGGACGGCCACAUUGGGACUGAGAUACGGCCCAGACUCCUACGGGAGGCAGCAGUGAGGAAUAUUGCACAAUGGGCGGAAGCCUGAUGCAGCGACGCCGCGUGGGGGAUGACGGCCUUCGGGUGGUAAACUCCUUUCGACCGCAAGGAAGCCACCUGGUUGGAAGGGUGGUGACGGUAGUGGUAGAAGAAGCACCGGCUAACUACGUG